UACUAAAACAAUGGGAUAUUUCAUUUUUAGUUCUUUUUGAUUAAAACAUUAUUAAAUUUAGUAAAGGCGAUUAAAAAUUAUUAUAUAAUCCUUAAAUGUUAAGUACUGUAAAGGAAUAGUUUUAAUUAAAAAAAAGAAAAAAUUAAAUUUU
RNAcentral lists this ribosomal RNA (151 nucleotides) under Polystira sp. R-GAN-26. RNAcentral describes it as "partial large subunit ribosomal RNA". The record is from RNAcentral. Lineage: Eukaryota; Metazoa; Mollusca; Gastropoda; Neogastropoda; Turridae.